CAGAGUAGAGGUUUAAGCGUUAAGUGCCUGCCGGACGGGGAGUUGUCGGCGGGACGAAAAGGGAACGGCUUUUGCAAGCCCUUGCGGUUUAAAUCUCGCAUCCCGCUG
This 108-nucleotide non-coding RNA is filed under the name uncultured Ruminococcus sp. RNAcentral describes it as "THF riboswitch". It matches the Rfam family "THF (Tetrahydrofolate) riboswitch aptamer". From Rfam's summary of the family: THF riboswitch presents a pseudoknot that joins P1-P2 and the loop of P3 and two THF binding. The record is from RNAcentral. Lineage: Bacteria; Bacillati; Bacillota; Clostridia; Eubacteriales; Oscillospiraceae.